RNAcentral lists this ribosomal RNA (301 nucleotides) under uncultured bacterium. Its description in RNAcentral is "partial 16S ribosomal RNA". It matches the Rfam family "Bacterial small subunit ribosomal RNA", at positions 509 to 807 of the family's 1533-position model. The record is from RNAcentral.
CAGCCGCCGCGGUAAUACAGAGGAUGCAAGCGCUAAUCGGAAUUACUGGGCGUAAAGCGUGCGCAGGCGGUUAUAUAAGUCAGAUGUGAAAUCCCCGGGCUCAACCUGGGAACUGCAUUUGAGACUGUAUGGCUAGAGUGUGUCAGAGGGGGGUAGAAUUCCACGUGUAGCUGUGAAAUGCGUAGAUAUGUGGAGGAAUACCGAUGGCGAAGGCAGCCCCCUGGGCCUGCACUGACGCUCAUGCACGAAAGCGUGGGGAGCAAACAGGAUUAGAUAUCCCGGUAGUCCCUGUCUCUUAUAC